RNAcentral lists this ribosomal RNA (487 nucleotides) under Shewanella sp. 3149. Its description in RNAcentral is "bacterial SSU rRNA". It matches the Rfam family "Bacterial small subunit ribosomal RNA", at positions 48 to 526 of the family's 1533-position model. The record is from RNAcentral. Lineage: Bacteria; Pseudomonadati; Pseudomonadota; Gammaproteobacteria; Alteromonadales; Shewanellaceae.
GCUACCAUGCAGUCGAGCGGUAACAGGAAGAAAGCUUGCUUUCUUUGCUGACGAGCGGCGGACGGGUGAGUAAUGCCUAGGGAACUGCCCAGUCGAGGGGGAUAACAGUUGGAAACGACUGCUAAUACCGCAUACGCCCUACGGGGGAAAAGAGGGGACCUUCGGGCCUUCUGCGAUUGGAUGUACCUAGGUGGGAUUAGCUAGUAGGUGAGGUAAUGGCUCACCUAGGCGACGAUCCCUAGCUGUUCUGAGAGGAUGAUCAGCCACACUGGGACUGAGACACGGCCCAGACUCCUACGGGAGGCAGCAGUGGGGAAUAUUGCACAAUGGGCGCAAGCCUGAUGCAGCCAUGCCGCGUGUGUGAAGAAGGCCUUCGGGUUGUAAAGCACUUUCAGCGAGGAGGAAAGGUUAAGUGUUAAUANCACUUANCUGUGACGUUACUCGCAGAAAGCACCGGCUAACUUCGUGCCAGCAGCCGCGGUAAUAC